GUCCAGACUCCUACGGGAGGCAGCAGUGGGGAAUAUUGCACAAUGGGCGAAAGCCUGAUGCAGCAACGCCGCGUGAAGGAAGAAGGGUUUCGGCUCGUAAACUUCUAUCAACAGGGACGAAAGAAAUGACGGUACCUGAAUAAGAAGCCCCGGCUAACUACGUGCCAGCAGCCGCGGUAAUACGUAUGGAGCAAGCGUUAUCCGGAUUUACUGGGUGUAAAGGGAGCGCAGGCGGCCUUGCAAGUCUGAUGUGAAAGGCCGGGGCCCAACCCCGGGACUGCAUUGGAAACUGCGAGGCUGGAGUGUCGGAGAGGCAGGCGGAAUUCCUAGUGUAGCGGUGAAAUGCGUAGAUAUUAGGAGGAACACCAGUGGCGAAGGCGGCCUGCUGGACGAUGACUGACGCUGAGGCUCGAAAGCGUGGGGAGCAAACAGGAUUAGAUACCCUCGUAGU
RNAcentral lists this ribosomal RNA (451 nucleotides) under uncultured bacterium. RNAcentral describes it as "partial 16S ribosomal RNA". It matches the Rfam family "Bacterial small subunit ribosomal RNA", at positions 329 to 794 of the family's 1533-position model. The record is from RNAcentral.